AUGGCAGCAGUCACCAGCCUCUCCAACUUCUGCACUACCUACGCUCUCUCUCUCUUCACCAAACAACCCUCAGCAUUUUUCUAUAUCCCCAAAAAGCCUCACUCCCACUCUCAUUUCCCGCAGUAAAGUCACCAUAACUCCCUCCGUCUCAUUCACCACCUCCUGCCUCACCCGCUUCUCCUUCAUCGCCAGCUCAUCCGCCGCAUACGGCGGUGGGCCCAGGACAACGGUGGCGGUGAUGACGGCGGUGAGGACCGGGAGCGGAACAAGGUGGAGGCCGUGGCGGCAAUAGCGGAGGCGGGGCGGUCGUCGGAGAGCCUGCCCAAGGACUUGGCGGCGGCGAUAGAGGCGGGCCGUGUGCCGGGGUCUAUUGUGAGGAGGUUCUUUGAGCUGGAGAAGUCGUUGGUGUUCAGGUGGCUGCUUGGGUUUGAUGGGUUUAAGGAGCUGUUGCUAGCGGAUGAUUUGUUCUUGACUAAGGUUGCUAUAGAGUGUGGUGUUGGAAUAUUCACCAAGACUGCUGCAGAGUUGGAGCGGCGCCGCGAAAAUUUUACCAAAGAGCUGGAUUUUGUUUUCGCGGAUGUGGUGAUGGCUAUUAUAGCCGAUUUUAUGCUUGUUUGGCUUCCUGCUCCUACUGUUUCACUUCGACCUCCUCUUACAGUCAGUGCAGGGCGUCUUGCUAAGUUCUUCUAUGGGUGUCCUGAUAAUGCUUUUCAGGUAGCUUUGGCUGGAACAUCUUACUCACUCUUACAGAGAAUAGGUGCAAUAGUGAGAAAUGGAGCUAAACUAUUUGCAGUCGGGACUGGUGCAUCUCUGGUUGGUACGGGUGUAACAAAUGCACUGAUUAAUACACGAAAAGCUAUUGACAAAUCUUUUGCUGGUGAAGCAGAGGAUGUUCCCAUAUUAUCAACUAGUGUAGCCUAUGGAGUUUAUAUGGCAGUUUCUAGCAAUCUAAGGUACCAAGUUCUCGCAGGAGUAAUCGAACAACGAAUUCUAGAACCCUUGCUACACAAACACAAGAUUAUACUGAGUGCAAUUUGCUUUGCUGUUCGAACAGGCAACACAUUCUUGGGGUCCUUGAUGUGGGUUGAUUAUGCACGGUGGGUUGGAAUUCAAAAGAUACGAGAUUAGAGCAUAGGGUAGAUUACAUGAUUAUUGUAAGUAAUUUUAUUUUUGUGUGGAUAUUGAUUUUGUUUAUGGAAUUACAGUGCGGUAACCUUCCGAUAAAAAUGCAAGAGAUGGGCAUUUAGAAAA
Prunus avium (sweet cherry) is the source of this 1251-nucleotide non-coding RNA. Lineage: Eukaryota; Viridiplantae; Streptophyta; Magnoliopsida; Rosales; Rosaceae. The record is from RefSeq and is a predicted model, not a curated record.